Molecule: regulatory RNA element, 109 nt
Organism: Brucella melitensis
Lineage: Bacteria; Pseudomonadati; Pseudomonadota; Alphaproteobacteria; Hyphomicrobiales; Brucellaceae
Rfam family: SAM-I/IV (S-adenosyl methionine) riboswitch aptamer
About the family: It is found upstream of a number of genes which code for proteins involved in methionine or cysteine biosynthesis. It has been found mostly in the order Actinomycetales.
Source: Rfam
ACCGCACAUCCAGAGUUGGGGCGACGCCCAACGCCAACCUGCCGUUCCGGGCAAGGUGGUACUCCCCGAAAGGGAGGAUGUUGCCGAACCGGCAAUUAUACGGAUGAAG